Molecule: long non-coding RNA, 238 nt
Filed under: Brassica napus (rape)
Lineage: Eukaryota; Viridiplantae; Streptophyta; Magnoliopsida; Brassicales; Brassicaceae
Description: long non-coding RNA (BNAP_LNC000178)
Source: RNAcentral
GAAGAUAUCAAUGUCGGCAAUUGUGAACAACUUAUUUGUUACUUCUUGCGAUCCAGCAGAGGUCACCUAGUGUAAGACAAUACCUACUCAAAUAGACAGUGAAGACAAAGGAUCCAUCCUCCACUCUCUCUUGCAUCUUCCAACUUUCGUCUUCUCAUUUCGCUGCUGUGUUGAUCAAUCCCUCUGUCUCCUCUUACAUGCAUGGUUCGAAUUAUUUUGCUCCUACUUAUGUCUACAU